GACGAACGCUGGCGGCGUGCCUAAUACAUGCAAGUAGAACGCUGAAGAGAGGAGCUUGCUCUUCUUGGAUGAGUUGCGAACGGGUGAGUAACGCGUAGGUGACCUGCCUUGUAGCGGGGGAUAACUAUUGGAAACGAUAGCUAAUACCGCAUAACAAUGGAUGACACAUGUCAUUUAUUUGAAAGGGGCAAUUGCUCCACUACAAGAUGGACCUGCGUUGUAUUAGCUAGUAGGUGAGGUAAUGGCUCACCUAGGCGACGAUACAUAGCCGACCUGAGAGGGUGAUCGGCCACACUGGGACUGAGACACGGCCCAGACUCCUACGGGAGGCAGCAGUAGGGAAUCUUCGGCAAUGGGGGCAACCCUGACCGAGCAACGCCGCGUGAGUGAAGAAGGUUUUCGGAUCGUAAAGCUCUGUUGUAAGUCAAGAACGGGUGUGAGAGUGGAAAGUUCACACUGUGACGGUAGCUUACCAGAAAGGGACGGCUAACUACGUG
This 497-nucleotide ribosomal RNA is filed under the name uncultured bacterium. RNAcentral describes it as "partial 16S ribosomal RNA". It matches the Rfam family "Bacterial small subunit ribosomal RNA", at positions 28 to 507 of the family's 1533-position model. The record is from RNAcentral.